UGGGGAAUAUUGGACAAUGGGCGCAAGCCUGAUCCAGCAAUGCCGCGUGUGUGAAGAAGGCCUUCGGGUUGUAAAGCACUUUUAUCAGGAGCGAAACGCUGUCGGCUAAUACCCGGCGGAACUGACGGUACCUGAGGAAUAAGCACCGGCUAACUUCGUGCCAGCAGCCGCGGUAAUACGAAGGGUGCAAGCGUUAAUCGGAAUUACUGGGCGUAAAAGCGUGCGUAGGCGGUUUCUUAAGUCUGCUGUGAAAUCCCCGGGCUCAACCUGGGAAUGGCAGUGGAUACUGGGAGGCUAGAGUGUGUCAGAGGGUGGUGGAAUUCCCGGUGUAGCGGUGAAAUGCGUAGAGAUCGGGAGGAACAUCAGUGGCGAAGGCGGCCACCUGGGACAACACUGACGCUGAGGCACGAAAAGCGUGGGGAGCAAACAGGAUUAGAUACCCUGGUAGUCCACGCCCUAAAACGAUGCGAACUGGAUGUUGGUCUCAACUCGGAGAUCAGUGUCGAAGCUAACGCGUUAAGUUCGCCGCCUGGGGAGUACGGUCGCAAGACUGAAACUC
This 559-nucleotide ribosomal RNA is filed under the name uncultured bacterium. RNAcentral describes it as "partial 16S ribosomal RNA". It matches the Rfam family "Bacterial small subunit ribosomal RNA", at positions 355 to 902 of the family's 1533-position model. The record is from RNAcentral.